Molecule: ribosomal RNA, 207 nt
Filed under: uncultured bacterium
Lineage: Bacteria
Description: partial 16S ribosomal RNA
Rfam family: Bacterial small subunit ribosomal RNA
Source: RNAcentral
CGCGUAGGCGGCCUCCGCAAGUCAAUUGUGAAAUCUCCGAGCUUAACUCGGAACGGUCAACUGAUACUGCGGGGCUAGAGUGCGGAAGGGGCAACUGGAAUUCUUGGUGUAGCGGUGAAAUGCGUAGAUAUCAAGAGGAACACCUGCGGCGAAGGCGGGUUGCUGGGCCGACACUGACGCUGAGGCGCGAAAGCUAGGGGAGCGAAC